This 266-nucleotide unclassified non-coding RNA is filed under the name plant metagenome. RNAcentral's name for it is "partial contains small subunit ribosomal RNA, internal transcribed spacer 1, and 5.8S ribosomal RNA". The stretch from base 1 to 54 matches the Rfam family "Eukaryotic small subunit ribosomal RNA", at positions 1778 to 1831 of the family's 1831-position model. The record is from RNAcentral.
GGAAGUAAAGGUCGUAACAAGGUCUCCGUUGGUGAACCAGCGGAGGGAUCAUUACCGAGUUUACAACUCCCAAACCCAAUGUGAACCAUACCAAACUGUUGCCUCGGCGGGGUCACGCCCCGGGUGCGUCGCAGCCCCGGAACCAGGCGCCCGCCGGAGGGACCAACCAAACUCUUUCUGUAGUCCCCUCGCGGACGUUAUUUUUACAGCUCUGAGCAAAAAUUCAAAAUGAAUCAAAACUUUCAACAACGGAUCUCUUGGUUCUG